Molecule: long non-coding RNA, 4104 nt
Organism: Scylla paramamosain (green mud crab)
Lineage: Eukaryota; Metazoa; Arthropoda; Malacostraca; Decapoda; Portunidae
Exons: 3
Source: RefSeq, a predicted model, not a curated record
UUUUAAUACGUUUCAGUGUUUGUAUUCAGAAUGGAAGUUAUGAAAACGGAAGACACUGAUAUUGCGUGUUUUGUUUGUCUUAUUGUUAACGUCAGAAUGGUGUAGCGAUCCACGUCACCAAGGCGGGACUGUCGGUGAUGGCGGCGACUGACUCACUGCAUGAAGAUAAUGCAUAACCAGCAAAAAACUCACACACUUCAAGAAAGAAAAAAGAGAAAGAAGGAUAAGCAGGACUCACUUAGCCUUGCACACACUGGUCACAACAAAUGCACGGGCGAUCUGCAGCUCAGUGGUGUCGAUGGACUUGUCUUGGAGGAGGCGGGAGAGGUAGGAGUAGGUACGCGGCUCCACCCUCCACAGGUCAUGCACCAGACGCAGCACCAGGGGGCGGAGGCUGCUGGAGGACCACAGUGCCAGCAGGGUCUUCAGCACCUGCCCCACACACAGCUGGUUUGGGGUGAGAGGAAAUCAGUAUAGACAUUAUGUGCAAGAAAGAGGUGAUAGAUAUAACCUUUUCACUGCUGUUUGGGACCUUCUUCCUUAAUUGCUGACCACUCUGAGAUCUUUCUUCUUGUUCUACAGUGACACCUGAACAUUAUAUUGGCUAAGAAUUGUAAUACCUGUUUUAAUCCUAUUUUUUCUUAUUGAAGCUUAUAAACGUUUCAUAGUUUUUUUUAAUGUUGUAAAUUGUUGCAUGUGGCAGUGAAAGGGUUAAACGAAUACAGAGACUGAACUUUAUCUGUCCAUAUACCAGGCCAGCAAUUCUCCACGGGGUGACCCAGACAAAGCACCACACACUCAUACACAAACAUCAUUCACACUCAGUCCCUGGUGGAAAGCGACAGUUCCAUGGCUGGGACUAUGAAUACUGCUAUUGUAUUCCUUGCAUGUUGAAAGAGGUGACUAAGAGGGAUGGAACAAGGAGGCUAGGAAUUCUCUUUUCUGUAUGGUGUCCUACAAAGAAAAAUGCUACAUGGACUGGAAAAAAUUGGAAAGGGAAAAAAUGGAGAAUUAAGUUUUAUCAUCCAAUCACAUGGAAAAACACAUUAAAGAUUAUAAACAAGGAAAAGAAUAAGAUUUUCUCCCCACCUUACUUUGCACACUACACUCCAGGAGCAGCACAGACCCUCACCUUGUUGACAGCCAGGGAGGGGAGGGUGUACAGGAUGGUGAGGCGGGUGGUGGGGUCAGGCUCACGGCCCAGGCGGUACAGCACCAUUGGGAACACCUCCAAGCCCAGGCACUUCUGCUUCAUCACCUCCUUCUCCAACACCUAAGAGGGAGAUGCAGUUGUAGGAUGAGAUUUGAUUGAAGAAUAUUUCAUUUGUCUUUUUUUGUAUUAGUUGUAGUAGUUGUUUCAAAAAUACAAGUAAUAGUAGCAGUAGUCGUAAAAAAAAAAAAAAAAGAAUGACAGUAUUUGUAGUAGUAGUAGUGGUGGUGGUGGUGGUAGUGAAAGUUAUGUGAAGAAAAAUCCUUAAUCCUGAUUUAUGAAAAAUGAUACUUAAAAAGCUUUGAAAAAAAAAAAAUAAAUAAAUAAAUAAAUAAUAAUAAUAAUAAUAUAUAGUUGAUCCUCAUUUAGGAACUUACAAUUUAUUAAUAUUUUUUUAAGGAAUAUGACUCGCUUGUAUCUUCCUUUACUUUAUAUUUUUCUUUUAGUCUCUCUCUCUCUCUCUCUCUCUCUCUCUCUCUCUCUCUCUCUCUCUCUCUCUCUCUCUCUCUCUGUCUGUCUGUCUGUCUGUCUGUCUGUCUGUCUGUCUGUCUGUCUGUCUGUCUGUCUGUCUGUCUGUCUGUCUGGCUGGCUGGCUGGCUGUCUCUCAUGCAAACCCCUCACCUUGGUGGCCUGCUGGACAGACUGUGGUGUGGAGCCCUGGUAGAGGAACACAGAUGUCACAAUGGUGUAGUAAAAGCUGGAGAUCUGGUUGACUGAGGAGGCCAGUUUGGUGAGCCAGUCUGAAGCAAGCUGGGGGUCCUUCACCAGGCGGUCCGAGAACUCCAAGGCGGGCAGGAAGGAGACCAGACUUGGGUGUAUGCAGCACAGCAUCUCCCAGUGCUCAUUGCCUGAAACACCAAGUACAAUCUUCAGGUGGUGUCCCUAUUUACAUCACCAUGGAGACACUGACACACUGAUCUAAAGGUGGGAUAACUCAGCUGUAAAAUGUACAAAGACCACAAAUACUGGCACUCAUAAUCUCAAUUUAUUUCAUUAAGGUUUAUUACCAACAAAACCUACACCAAUACUCUUUCAGGGAGUCUCAAAGGAAAAUAAAGAAUCGAGACUUACUGAAAAACAAGAUAACAAACAAUGAUUAAUCUUACACAUAUAUAGAUAAGAUAGGUAGUUAGAUGUUUACUGACCACCAAGUUGUAGAUUUACAUAAUAUAUACAUACAUCACUAAAGGAGAUAUGCCCAACUACACACAUCUAAAACAGGUUAAACAUUAAUCUAAAAAAAAAGUUGAAAGUCAGGCCACAACAGCCAUCCAUUCCCAGUGAGCCUUGACAUGUGGACUCACCCGCAAGCUGUGUGUUGGCCGAGGCUUGUGCUGGGGUGGCUUGCACGAGGGAGAUGAGUGCCGCUGCAGCCGUGGUGAGGCCUGGCACAGCAGUACAGGGGGCGGACAGCACCUGCAGCAGUGAGGGCAGCAGCCGGGCGCCAAUGAGUGGGUUCCCGUCCUUGUGUGACAGAAGCGUGGCACCUGCAGGACAUAGAAUAUUGUACAACCACACCCAUGGGUUAAAACUUUCCCUGUGAUUUGUUAUGGUUUUUCCUUAAUUACUUACUAUUCUGAGGUCUUUUUCUUGCUACUUUCUUCCUACUGGGUAAAAAUUGCUAAUCUAUUAUUUUAGUUCCUCUUUUUUUUCUUUCUUGUUGAUAUUUAUUAAGAUUUCAUUGCUUUUACUACUGUGAGGUGCUACAUGUCAUGGUGAAAGGGUUAAGUGACUUGCUUCUUUCUGUUGCUAUAGAAUUGCUUCUGUUGCCUGGCAAAGAUGAAAUUGUUAUUCAUAUUCCUUCUUCUGGAUGUCCAUCUAAAUGAUUUAUUAAAGUGACCUUAGUGUUGGAGACAAUCAUAGCAAAAAAUGAGUUAAUCAAGGAACACAAUUCUUUCACAAACUACCACUCAUCUGUACAAUAAAUUACAACAAAAGUCAUGAAUGAAUACCAAGCUGCAGGAGGCUGAUCUGAAGGCGGCCUGAGGUGGAGGGCAGCACCUCAGCCAGCGCACAGACCGUGACGUCACAGCCGCGCCCAAGCCGGGACCCCAGCAGCCUCACAUCCCUCUCCAAUGUCCUAGUGCCCAAGCCGUGUUUCUUGCAGGUGACAAGGAGAAAAAGAGAGGGAAGAGGAAAGGAUGAGAUUUCAGACAAACAGUGCAAACAAAUCAGUGUCCCGAGGCUCACCAGGGCAAGAGGGAAAGCCAUGAGGAGGCAGGGGAGCACGGCAGACUGCAGGCGUGUCAGGUUCUCCCUCAUGGCCAGCUCUGCCAGGGAUGUCAGCACCAUCACCUUGCGUUCCACAUGCUCCCUGCUUGUGUCCUGAAGGAGGCACCGAUCAGAGAGGGUGAAUGGCCCACAAAGAGAAGAGUGAGUGGUAAACAAGACCCAUAGAGAGAGAAGAGAAAACAAAACACAAACACACACACACACACACACACUGUGUAGUGUAGUGGUAAGCACACUCGGCUCACAACCAAGAAGGCCCAGGUUUUAAUCCAGGUGUGGUGAGGCAAAUGGGCAAGCCUCUUAAUCUGUAGCCCCUGUUCACCUAGCAGCAAGUAGGUGCAGGAUGUAACCCGAGGGGUUGUGACCUCACUGUCCUGGUGUGUGGUGUGUGAGCGGUCUCAGUCCUAUCCAAAGAUUGGUCACUAUGAGCUCUGAGCUCUUUCCAUAGGGUAAUGGCUGGCUGGGUGACCAGCAGACGACCGUAGGUGAAUGACACACACACACACACACACACACACACACACACACACACACACAGAGGGAAGCAACCAUAAGAUCAGAGAGAAGAGUGAGUGGAAAACAAAAUACACACACAUACACACACACACACACACACACACACACACACACACACACACACACACACACACACACACACACAC